UUACAUACAUUAUGGAGCUCUAAAUACAAGGCCCAAAAAUAAUGAAACCUUAAUCUAAUAUGUACUAAGAUAAGUGGGUUCAUACUUAGCCCAUGAGCCCGAAAUCUACCCAAAGGCUCAUGAGAAUCCUAUGGUCUUCUCUUGCAUCUUUGGCUCAAUCUUCUUUGAGUCUUCUAUCCAAUGCCCUUGCGGGGUAGGAUUGCAUCACAUUGAUAUCACUUAACUUAUAAUAUUCAAUAAUUCACUAAUUAUUUUACAAAUUAUAGGAUCCAAAACAAAUAACAUAAUCAAACAAUUUUAGAAUAAUAAACUUUUUUCUCUUGCUUUGUAAGAAUGCAAUUCCUCUCUAUUUC
This 353-nucleotide long non-coding RNA is filed under the name Glycine max (soybean). RNAcentral describes it as "long non-coding RNA (GMAX_LNC003245)". Lineage: Eukaryota; Viridiplantae; Streptophyta; Magnoliopsida; Fabales; Fabaceae. The record is from RNAcentral.